RNAcentral lists this long non-coding RNA (2373 nucleotides) under Daphnia pulex (common water flea). RNAcentral's name for it is "uncharacterized LOC124193930, transcript variant X2". The record is from RNAcentral. Lineage: Eukaryota; Metazoa; Arthropoda; Branchiopoda; Diplostraca; Daphniidae.
GGACGUGUUUCAUCAUUAUCAAGUAGGUACAAUACCCGCAAGGCUUAAGAGGUGAGGGUGAUAAAAAAAAUUGUAUAAAAAGGAGAGAGAAAAGGCCAGAGACAUCAGUAGAGUGAGCAUCAUCGACACGACAACAACUGCAGUGCACUACCUGUACCAACUACCUUCUUCAUCGCAAUACCAGUUCGCAACAAUGGUUCGCAGUUAUGGUCAACUAUAAUGUCGUGCUGCUGUCGGAUGUUGUAUCGUUGGUGGCUGGGUCGACCAAUAGUGUACCAAUGUCCUUUGGGCACGGGUACCAAACCGCAAUGCCGACGCCUUACUACACAACAACAACAUACGCUUCAGCCGGUUAUCACGCCAUCAAGUCUCCAGUGAAUUACACCACACCUUAUGAUGCCCCGAGCUACUACACCGACGCCCUGAAUUAUAGAUAUCCUUCAGUUGCUGCAAGCAUUAACUGGCUUCGUGAUGCUGUUGAAUGUUGUAUCGUUUCUGGCUGAGUCGACCACUGGUCCCUGGGUAUGGCGGAUACCAAGCCGCAACGCUGCUGUCUUACUACACAGCAACAUACGUAACUACCUGUCGGAACUUCCAAGUACUACACCGAAAAGGCUGAAUGUUACACAAGGACGUAUGCUACCCCAGUUUACUACACCGAGGAACCUAAGCAUUACUCUGCUCCGAGCUACAACAGAGGCUCCUGUUUACUACACCACCAACGCAUCUGAAUGUUACAUGAUAAUCUACGCUGCCCCCAACUACUACACUGGAGCUUCGAAGUGCAACACCACCGAUGCACAAACAAUUUGCAAGCAAGGAGUUAUUUGGUGACCUGAUGCUGUUGAAUCUUGUAUCUUUGAUGCAUAUGACCGUUGUAGUGAUGUUUCCUGGGUAUGGCGGAUAUCAAAUCGCAACGCUACCGUCUUAUUACUCAACAACUUACUCAACGACCUGUUACUACACCGGGACUUCCACUUACUACACUGAAAAGGCUGAAUAUUACACAAGGACGUAUGCUACCUCAGUUUACUACACCGAGGAACCUAAGCAUUACUCUGCUCCGAGCUACAACAGAGGCUUCUGUUUACUACACCACCAACGCAUCUGAAUGUUACAUGAUAAUCUACGCUGCCCCCAACUACUACACUGGAGCUUCGAAGUGCAACACCAUAAAUGUACAACCAAUUUGCAAGCAAGGAGUUAUUUGGUGACGUGUUGCUGUUGAAUCAUAUGACCGUUGUAGUGAUAUUUCUUGGGUAUGGUGGAUAUUAUAUCGCAACGCUACUGUCUUACCACGCAACGCUUCUGUCUUACCACGCAACGCUACUGUCUUACUAUGCCAAAACUUACUCAACGACCUGUUACUACACCGGGAUUUCCAAAUACUACACCGAAAAGGUUGAAUAUUUCACAUGGACAAGGACAAGGCGUCUAUCCCAGUUUACUACACCGAGAAACCUAAACAUUACUGUGCUUCGAACUACAACAUAGGCUCCUGUUUACUAUGCGACCAUCGCUCCCGAGUGUUGUACGCUCCCCCCAACCGCUACACUGAAGCUCCGAAGUACUACACCAUUGAAGGAAAACUAAUUCGCAUUCAAGGAUUAUUAUGCUGUUGAGCUGUUGUUGGAUGUUGUAUCGUUGAUGGCUGGGUCGACCACGAGUGUACCGAUGUCUCCUGGGUAUGGUGGUAUUUCAGUACUAGCAGCUAUAGAAUGGUACACCACGUUGCUGCCUUACUACUUAACAACAUCAACAUACGCAACACCUACUUACUACACUGAUGCUCGUAAAUACCACAUCUCCAAGGCUCCAAGAAUGUACUGUACACGAAUAUCUACGCUGCUCCGAGCUACUGCACGGAAGUAUCACUCUACCCCAAGUUACAUCAACAAAACGUCUGAGUAGUGAGUACUACACUAAGGAUCUCAAAUACUACACCACCAAAGCUACAAAGCACUGCACCGAGGCUGUAGCUUGUUAAACCACCAAAGCGGUCGAGUACCGAGGGGUUUAAGUACUACCCCUUAACCUACUGCAGAGCAGUAUUUGUCAACAACUGCCAUAAUCGUAUGAAAUGUUCGCAAUCAUGGUAUACUGUGAUGUUGUGCUGCUGUUGAGGAUGGAUUCAUCGUUGAAAGCUGGGUUGAUCAUUGGUCUACUGAGGCCCCUGGAUAUGACGGUGCAUCACCAAAGUGCAUCACCAAAGAGCCAGCAAAUUACAUCGAGGUUUUUAAGUACUACACUACUAAGUACACCACUAAGGCGCCGGUACCAGAAUACUACACUACGCAUACUACCCCUGCCUACUACACCGGGGUCCUUAAUUACUACAACACCCGGCAACAAUUGAACUCUUCAAAUUCUCAA